This 699-nucleotide long non-coding RNA is filed under the name Rattus norvegicus (Norway rat). RNAcentral describes it as "long non-coding RNA NONRATT009171". Lineage: Eukaryota; Metazoa; Chordata; Mammalia; Rodentia; Muridae. The record is from RNAcentral.
GGCAAUGCCCUUGCUCUGCUUGAGGGAGAGGUCACACCUAUUCAGGGAAGUGUUAAGUGUCCUGCCGGUUCUCUUUGUCAAUGAAGCUGUCUCUGUGCUUAUCCAUGAGUGUGAAGGGCUGAGAGUCAAUGCCAGACUUAUUGCGUUGCUGGUCACUUAGUGCUGGUGCCCCAGCUCCUACACUUACCCCUCACACCUGGCUCUGCUCCAUCAAAGGGACAAGUACCAGCUGUGUGAGGGGUUCCCAGAGAGCAAAGGCAGACUCCCCUAGAACUUCCAGAUCUGAGUCCUGCUCAGAAUUAGAGAAGACAUUGGAGAGUACCCUCUGGAUAUGCAGUUCCGUUUUCCAUCUUCUUGGUCUUCCUGCUGUCUUGAGAGGCAGGAGUGCCAAGGAUGAGGGCUUUGAGGCAGUUAGGGGAACACUUGGGGACACCCCCUGUUUUGGGAGACUUCACUCCAGAUGAAGGAACUGUACACUGGAGGGUCUAAGCAGCCCGCUAUGUCCAAUCUUAGAGGGCUUCAGGGCGAAUGAACUCCAAGGAUGGGCUCAUUUCUGGCAUCCAGUUUUCUGAAGGUCCAGGCCCUCCCUCAUUCUCCCCAGUCUGUCACCAUGGCAGCUGCAGGGCUUGUAUCUCUACGCCCACACCAUUCUUUAUGAUCACACGAGCAAACACACACAGAGACAUCCAUGUGUAAGUG